AGGACGAACGCUGGCGGCGUGCUUAACACAUGCAAGUCGAGCGGAAAGGCCUUUCGGGGGUACUCGAGCGGCGAACGGGUGAGUAACACGUGAGUAAUCUGCCCAUCGCUUCAGGAUAGCCAUCGGAAACGGUGAUUAAUACUGGAUAUGACAUUCCUUCGCGUGUUGGGGGUGUGGAAAGUUUUUUCGGCGGUUGGAUGUGCUCGCGGCCUAUCAGCUUGUUGGUGGGGUAAUGGCCUACCAAGGCUUUGACGGGUAGCCGGCCUGAGGAGGGUGACCGGCCACACGUGGGACUGAGACACGGCCCAGACUCCUACGGGA
RNAcentral lists this ribosomal RNA (321 nucleotides) under uncultured soil bacterium. RNAcentral's name for it is "bacterial SSU rRNA". It matches the Rfam family "Bacterial small subunit ribosomal RNA", at positions 26 to 346 of the family's 1533-position model. The record is from RNAcentral.